GCGGUCGGCUGGGGGAGGAACUUCUCGCGCAGCUCCUGGCUGUGCUCGAAGCCGCCGGAGCCGAGGAUGACGCCGCGCCGGGCGCG
This 86-nucleotide transfer RNA is filed under the name Pimelobacter simplex. RNAcentral describes it as "tRNA-Arg". Lineage: Bacteria; Bacillati; Actinomycetota; Actinomycetes; Propionibacteriales; Nocardioidaceae. The record is from RNAcentral.